GUGGGGAAUCUUAGACAAUGGGCGCAAGCCUGAUCUAGCCAUGCCGCGUGAGCGAUGAAGGCCUUAGGGUUGUAAAGCUCUUUCAGCUGGGAAGAUAAUGACGGUACAAGCAGAAGAAGCCCCGGCUAACUCCGUGCCAGCAGCCGCGGUAAUACGGAGGGGGCUAGCGUUGUCCGGAAUUACUGGGCGUAAAGCGCAUGUAGGCGGAUCAGAAAGUCAGAGUGGAAAUCCCAGUGCUCAACCUUGGAACUGCCUUUGAAACUCCGGAGCUUGAGUGCGGGAGAGGUGAGUGGAAUUCCGAGUGUAGAGGUGAAAUUCGUAGAUAUGCGGAGGAACACCAGUGGCGAAGGCGGCUCACUGGCUCAAUACUGACGCUGAGGUGCGAAAGCGUGGGGAGCAAACAGGAUUAGAUACCCGUGUAGUCC
This 425-nucleotide ribosomal RNA is filed under the name uncultured bacterium. RNAcentral's name for it is "partial 16S ribosomal RNA". It matches the Rfam family "Bacterial small subunit ribosomal RNA", at positions 354 to 796 of the family's 1533-position model. The record is from RNAcentral.